RNAcentral lists this ribosomal RNA (370 nucleotides) under Borrelia miyamotoi. RNAcentral describes it as "bacterial SSU rRNA". It matches the Rfam family "Bacterial small subunit ribosomal RNA", at positions 195 to 563 of the family's 1533-position model. Lineage: Bacteria; Pseudomonadati; Spirochaetota; Spirochaetia; Spirochaetales; Borreliaceae. The record is from RNAcentral.
AAGCCUUUAAAGCUUCGCUUGUAGAUGAGUCUGCGUCUUAUUAGCUAGUUGGUGGGGUAAGAGCCUACCAAGGCUAUGAUAAGUAACCGGCCUGAGAGGGUGAUCGGUCACACUGGAACUGAGAUACGGUCCAGACUCCUACGGGAGGCAGCAGCUAAGAAUCUUCCGCAAUGGGCUAAAGCCUGACGGAGCGACACUGCGUGAACGAAGAAGGUCGAAAGAUUGUAAAGUUCUUUUAUAAGUGAGGAAUAAGCUUUGUAGGAAAUGACAAAGCGAUGACGUUAAUUUAUGAAUAAGCCCCGGCUAAUUACGUGCCAGCAGCCGCGGUAAUACGUAAGGGGCGAGCGUUGUUCGGGAUCAUUGGGCGUAA